RNAcentral lists this long non-coding RNA (279 nucleotides) under Elaeis guineensis (African oil palm). Its description in RNAcentral is "long non-coding RNA (EGUI_LNC025863)". The record is from RNAcentral. Lineage: Eukaryota; Viridiplantae; Streptophyta; Magnoliopsida; Arecales; Arecaceae.
ACAUGGUCUCAGUGCUGCGCUCCAAUGAACAGCAGGAAAAGAUGACCAAGGAUGGAGCUCCCCAGGAGGGCUUAGCCAUAGGGGAGAGGUCAAGAAGAGGAAUAGAAAGAGAUAAGUUAAGGAGACGAUCAAAAUUCUGAAAGAACAGAAGCAAGAAAGAGGCUCGGUGCUACAAGUACAAUGAGAUCGGAUACUUCAAGUGAGAUUGCCCGUAGUGGAAGAGCAAGAAGGGAGACAAGAGAGGAUCUGAUGCACUGAGUAUGGUGGCUGAUCAGGAGG